AUUCCUUCUCAUUUUUCCCCGAUCCUUCGUUCCUUUCUCCGAUUUUGCUCCUCCAACCCCUUCAUCGCCGGCGUUGGUCCACACCACCACGCCGAUCUCCACGAGCUCAUCGCCGGGCAGCAGUCUUUCCUUCCGCGUGCUCCACCGACGCCCUCUUCUCCCUUCCUCUCUCUUGUGUCUCUGCCCUAGAUCGCCGACGGAGAGGUUUCUUCCACCGCGAUCUCACCUUCACCCGUUGUCGUGGCACCUUGUCUGUGAGAUACCGGCGCCUAUAGCUACCAGCCAUCGACGCCGCCGUUCUUGUUCGUUGCCACUUCCCAUCUCUAACUCCUUUUCCCAUCUCGAGCCCUAGCUACCAUCACUGGGAUCGAGUCCAGCGGAUCGUUCCAAGCUGCUGAGUGUCACCUGAGCGCCACCUGAGCGCCACCUGAGCGCUGCCUAUCCAGUACCUUGUUCCCGAUCUUCCAUCCGCGGCCUCUCCCUCACGGUGACAUUGGGUGCGUGUUCCCAUGAUCCAGCGAUUGCCUGGAUUCAUUCGCGACUGAUCUGUUCCCAUGGGCGCAGACGUCGUCUCUGAUUGUGCCCGCCAGCAGAUCCACUCUGUUGAUAGAUUUCUUGGAUUUGGGUGAUGGUGUGGGCAGCAGUAAGUAUUACCCGUGAUUUCCAGCAGUAGGGUUGCUUCGAUCACAAACUAACAGUGGAGUGCAAUGGAAUUGGGUUUGGUAUCAAUAGGAUUGACCUGUUGGAUGUGAGAGUAAUCCAUGGAAACAUUGUGGAAAAUUGAUAUCGAUGGGAAGGUGAAUGGAGCAGUUGAGACAUGCUUUGGGUCUUUUCAUCAUUAUUCACAGCAUAUAAAUUUCUCACACCCUUGAUCAAAGUUAAGUGGAAUUUAGUGGGCAGCUUU
Zingiber officinale is the source of this 904-nucleotide long non-coding RNA. RefSeq lists it as uncharacterized. The record is from RefSeq and is a predicted model, not a curated record. The transcript has 5 exons. Lineage: Eukaryota; Viridiplantae; Streptophyta; Magnoliopsida; Zingiberales; Zingiberaceae.